This 116-nucleotide ribosomal RNA is filed under the name Leiomenia cribrosa. The record is from RNAcentral. Lineage: Eukaryota; Rhodophyta; Florideophyceae; Gigartinales; Kallymeniaceae.
UCUGAUGCUUAUAGCGUAGUGGAUCCACUCCAAUCCAUCCCGAACUUGGUUGUUAAACACUACAGCGGCAAUGAUACUGAGGGGGGGGCCCCUUGGGAAAGUAGCUCAGUGUCAGA